AGGUGCGAUCAUACCAGCACUAAUGCACCGGAUCCCAUCAGAACUCCGCAGUUAAGCGUGCUUGGGCGAGAGUAGUACUAGGAUGGGUGAUGUAACACCCCGUUUUCCCAAUGU
This 114-nucleotide ribosomal RNA is filed under the name Medicago truncatula (barrel medic). Lineage: Eukaryota; Viridiplantae; Streptophyta; Magnoliopsida; Fabales; Fabaceae. The record is from RNAcentral.